GCCCUGUAGCGCAAUAGGAUAGUGCGUUGGACUUCUAAUCCAAAGGUCGUGGAUUCGAAUACCACCUGGAAUA
This 73-nucleotide transfer RNA is filed under the name Trichonephila inaurata madagascariensis. RNAcentral describes it as "tRNA-Arg". It matches the Rfam family "tRNA". From Rfam's summary of the family: Transfer RNA (tRNA) molecules are approximately 80 nucleotides in length. Their secondary structure includes four short double-helical elements and three loops (D, anti-codon, and T loops). The record is from RNAcentral. Lineage: Eukaryota; Metazoa; Arthropoda; Arachnida; Araneae; Nephilidae.